This 459-nucleotide ribosomal RNA is filed under the name uncultured bacterium. RNAcentral's name for it is "partial 16S ribosomal RNA". It matches the Rfam family "Bacterial small subunit ribosomal RNA", at positions 338 to 795 of the family's 1533-position model. The record is from RNAcentral.
CCUACGUGAGGCAGCAGUGAGGAAUAUUGGUCAAUGGGCGCGAGCCUGAACGAGCCAAGUCGCGUGAGGGAAGACGGUCCUAUGGAUUGUAAACCUCUUUUGUCGGGGAGCAAAAGAGGCCACGCGUGUCCUUCCGAGAGUACCCGACGAAAAAGCAUCGGCUAACUCAGUGCCAGCAGCCGCGGUAAUACGGAGGAUGCGAGCGUUAUCCGGAUUGAUUGGGUUAAAAGGGUGCGAAGGCGGAAGAUCAAGUCAGCGGUAAAAGUGAGAGGCUCAACCUCUUCGAGCCGUUGAAACUGGUUUUCUUGAGUGAGCGAGAGGUAUGCGGAAUGCGUGGUGUAGCGGUGAAAUGCAUAGAUAUCACGCAGAACUCCGAUUGCGAAGGCAGCAUACCGGCGCUCAACUGACGCUCAUGCACGAAAGUGUGGGUAUCGAACAGGAUUAGAUACCCUGGUAGUC